RNAcentral lists this long non-coding RNA (651 nucleotides) under Capsicum annuum. RNAcentral's name for it is "long non-coding RNA (CANN_LNC007263)". Lineage: Eukaryota; Viridiplantae; Streptophyta; Magnoliopsida; Solanales; Solanaceae. The record is from RNAcentral.
AGAGUUCUUAAGGGCUCAUGAUUUUAGCACCAUUUGUGAUGUUAUGGCUAUAUUCAUCUGUAGAAUUAACCACAAUGAGUUUGAGGUACUUCAAAAUCAUGAUGUUUCUUCAAGAUCGUUACAAAAUUUAUGGAUUUGUCAAAGUUGGAGGAAUAAAAUAUGGUGAAACAAGAAGAGCUCACCCAGCAAAGGACCAGGCAGUUGGAGGACAAACUGUUUGGACCUUUGCUUCAUGAACUUUUCUUAUGCCACCAUGCUUUAUCUUGUUCCAACAUCGGCAGCUUCCUAAAUCUUUUAAAGGUGUCGAUUACAUCAUCAAGAUUCUAAAAUGCCUCAGAUUUAUUUUUUUGACAACUGUAGAUGAAUUUAUCCAUUCAACAUCACAGAGGAUGUUGAGUUCAUGACCCUUUCACAAUAACUCGUUUUGUAUCUUCAUGUAUGAGCCUAUCCUCAUAGUGUUACCUUCAGUCAAUGCAAACUUCACUUUUUUCCGGUCAUGGCUAAGGAAGAGUAAGAGGAGGAGGAUUGUGAUUUCUUUGGAUAUGGGUAUCAAAUGAGUUUAUUUUUAUCAUCUGUUUCUUUACCUAGGAUUGGUUUCUAUGUAUUAGGGAACUAUAAAUUAUGUGAACAUUUAAUAGUUUGAAUUAGAAG